This 23-nucleotide unclassified non-coding RNA is filed under the name Mus musculus (house mouse). RNAcentral's name for it is "oocyte_clustered_small_RNA2570". Lineage: Eukaryota; Metazoa; Chordata; Mammalia; Rodentia; Muridae. The record is from RNAcentral.
UGCUCCUGUUGUUCCUCAUGUUG